Molecule: small RNA, 127 nt
Filed under: Marmota monax (woodchuck)
Lineage: Eukaryota; Metazoa; Chordata; Mammalia; Rodentia; Sciuridae
Source: RNAcentral
GCUGGGUGAGGUGGCGCAUGCCUGUAGUCCCAGUGGCUCGGGAGACUGAGGCAGGAGGAUCACGAGUUCAAAGCCAGCCUCAGCAACUUAGCAAGGCCUUAAGUUACUCAGUGAGACCCUGUCUCUA